GGGUCAGUAGGUUGGUCGUGCCACAGGUACGUACUGGUCUCACUGAUUCCUCCUUCCUGAAGAACCGUAAUGCCAUUAAUUUGGUGUUGCGGGGAAACAGGACUGUUACUUUGAAAAAAUUUGAGUGUUUAAAGCAAGCUAACGCUUGAAUACAUUAGCAUGGAAUAAUGAAAUAGGACGAUCGAUCCUAUUUUGUUGGUUUCUAGGAUUGACGUA
This 216-nucleotide ribosomal RNA is filed under the name Glomeromycotina sp. Its description in RNAcentral is "partial small subunit ribosomal RNA". The stretch from base 40 to 216 matches the Rfam family "Eukaryotic small subunit ribosomal RNA", at positions 686 to 864 of the family's 1831-position model. The record is from RNAcentral. Lineage: Eukaryota; Fungi; Glomeromycota.